Molecule: long non-coding RNA, 301 nt
Organism: Patiria miniata (bat star)
Lineage: Eukaryota; Metazoa; Echinodermata; Asteroidea; Valvatida; Asterinidae
Exons: 3
Source: RefSeq, a predicted model, not a curated record
AUGUGCCGAUGUUUCGUGGAUCAGAAUCAGCUUUUUCAAACAAUCCCUGGCUGACUGGUGACCAUUCCUGCAAUGAUCUGGAUGAUUGACUGAUAGAUGCAUCAAACAUCAUGAAGACAACCUGUAUAGGGCCAGCUGUCAUGCUGGUUAUUGCAUGCUGUUCAGCUUGUGUUAAUGCUACUAAAUUUAAGGUGUCCAAACAGUGAGUGAAUGUCAGCGACAACCUUCAACACGAGGAUGCAAACCAAAGAUAGACGGGUCCUACAGUGUUCAGUCAGUUCAAACCAAAAUCUCUACUGCA